RNAcentral lists this ribosomal RNA (496 nucleotides) under uncultured bacterium. RNAcentral describes it as "partial 16S ribosomal RNA". It matches the Rfam family "Bacterial small subunit ribosomal RNA", at positions 28 to 507 of the family's 1533-position model. The record is from RNAcentral.
GAUGAACGCUGGCGGCGUGCCUAAUACAUGCAAGUCGAGCGAACGGACGAGAAGCUUGCUUCUCUGAUGUUAGCGGCGGACGGGUGAGUAACACGUGGAUAACCUACCUAUAAGACUGGGAUAACUUCGGGAAACCGGAGCUAAUACCGGAUAAUAUUUUGAACCGCAUGGUUCAAAAGUGAAAGACGGUCUUGCUGUCACUUAUAGAUGGAUCCGCGCUGCAUUAGCUAGUUGGUAAGGUAACGGCUUACCAAGGCAACGAUGCAUAGCCGACCUGAGAGGGGACCCGCCCAACCGGGACUGAGAAAAGGGCCCGACCCCUAAGGGGGGGAGCAGGGGGGAAUUUUUGACAAAGGGGGAAAGCCUGAACGAGCAAAGCCGCGUGGAGGAUGAAGGCCUUUGGGUUGUAAAAACCUUUUUUUUGGGAAAAAAAAAAUGUGGAAAAAACCUGGCACACUUGACGGGACCCUAAGAAAAAGCCCCGGCUAAAUACGGG